CAGUUUCAACUUCGUGUUUCCAGUGUCCACCCAUUAGCGAACAUCAUAUAGAAUUAGCCUUUUCCCCUCGUCCUUGUUCGAUUCAUCUCUAGCGAGCGAUUGGAUCCCUCAAAGCUUAAAAAUUCAAAAAACCUUGAUCUUUUAGAUGGCUAAUAGAGCUCCUGUCAAAACUAACAACUCAGCCCUCAUUGCCAUGAUCGCUGAUGAGGACACAAUUAUAGGAUUUUAUCUGGCUGGAGUUGGGAAUGUCGAUUUGAGGAGGAAAACAAAUUACCUUAUUGUGGAUUCAAUGUCCAAGAUGAAGAACUGGAAUAUCAAGUACCUUAAUAUCCUGUUCCCUCCAAGGUAGAAACAAGAGAAUGCUUCAGUGGAUAAAGACCCAUAUCACAUAUCCUUCUUUAUUUUUUAUAAGAGAAUGUUUUGGACCUUUUCACUCGGGCUUUAUUGCUUUGCUAUUACUCACAACUGCAAUUUGAAAAGGCUUUGGAAGGGUUUUAUGAUGGAAGCAAUGGUUAGGGAAAGUAUAAUGGCUCCUUGGUAUGAUCUUCCGAGAGAUCUUGUUGAAAGAAUCAGUAAAUGCUUCGACAACCAUAUUGACGUCCUCCGCAUUCGUGCACUCUACAAUUCAUGGCGUUCAACAAUUCCUAUUACUUUCAAAAUCCCUAAAUCUCUGUCUCCCAUUAAACUGCCUUUACCCUACGGCAUAUUCCAUGGUGGACAUCUAAAAUUUCAGUUUGAUUUUUUCGAAAGUAACGUUUAUCUUUCCAACUUUCUCAUCCUCCUCACACAGCCUGGUUGGUCAACGUUUGUAAUGAUCUAUUAGGUCAUUUUGAGAACUAGAGCUUUUUAUUUCAUAAAAGACUAAUACCAUAAAUUUUAAUGAGUAUUUUGGACUAUUCGAUAACUACAAUUAUUUAG
This is an RNA transcript of Solanum dulcamara, 918 nucleotides long. It is a transcript of the gene named V-type proton ATPase subunit F-like, with no coding region annotated. The transcript is spliced from 4 exons. The record is from RefSeq and is a predicted model, not a curated record. NCBI's taxonomy places the organism in Eukaryota, Viridiplantae, Streptophyta, Magnoliopsida, Solanales, Solanaceae.